Monodelphis domestica (gray short-tailed opossum) is the source of this 1636-nucleotide long non-coding RNA. The record is from Ensembl. NCBI's taxonomy places the organism in Eukaryota, Metazoa, Chordata, Mammalia, Didelphimorphia, Didelphidae.
UGGCCAGGUAGAUAAACCAUAUAGAUAAGUAGACAUUAAAACUAAUAAAAAGAUAGCAUUUGAGAAAGAGUUGAAAGGAUUCCCAGGAUGAGAAUGGGCCUGUAAUGGGGCUGUAGGUGUCAUUAUUAUAGACUGCAUAUGAUAUCUUAAAUUCUGAUCUUUGUUCUUUGAUUUGAUUUGAGAGAAUAGGAGGAGGAGAAAGUGACCCUCCUUGAAGAUCAGUCGAUAUAUUAUUCACCACAGUGGUGCCAGGCUGAGGCUGUUGAAAAGGCACAUCUAGCUGAAAAGAGGAAGGAGAGAUGGAAUGAGCCUGAGGAUGAGAAAGACAAUCUCCUGGACAUGAUGGAAUCUCAAUCACUGCAGUUGGUCUCACCUCCAAUAAAGGUCUGUGCUGAGGAGAAGAUACAACAUCAGGCCAAAAAGGUGAGCAGACCCAAGAGUACCACAAUGGUAGAGUAAAGAACAGUGCUGGUCAAUCAUUCUAUAAUCUAGCCAGCUAUCCUUUGCCACAGACAAAGUAUGCAACUAACUCCUAAAAUCCAAAGUCUAAGUUAAAAGGCUUGCUGGAUAGUGCCCGACUUUCCCUAUUCUCCUACCAAAGUCAGGUUUCAUUUUCAUGUCAUAUUCACUGAGGCAGGGCCAUUUCUUGUUCCAUGUGGGAGCAAUUUGAAAAACACAGAUUUAAUAGGAAUCUCAAAUAAUGGACACCAUCUUUCCCCACUUCCUUUUUUAAAGUUAGCAAACUGGAUGGUUGGUUGGUUUAGAACUGGAAACCAAAGGAAAAGUGGAUGGAAGUGGAGGAUAAGAGGCUACCUACCCCUACCUUCCUACCACAUGAGUGAGGAAGUGAGAAAAAGUGUCAAUACAAUUAUCCAACAAAACUUACUUCAGGGUUCUUUGCAAAGAUCAACGAUUUUCUUUGUUGAUCAAAGAAAAUAAACCAAAGCAUCACAGGACAAAGUGUGGGACUAUGGCUCAAGGUGAUAAGUGUGAGCAUUUUAGAUGGCAGGUAAUUGCUGAUGAAUGGGGUUUAUUCUUUAAUGAGGAACAGAGGAAGGAGAGAAGAAAUGAACCUGAGGAUGAGAAAUAUAGUCUCUUGGAUGUGAUGGAAUAUUAUUCGCCAGAAUUGGACUCACCUACAAGAAAGCUCAGUGCUGAGAAGAAGAUUCAACAGCAAGCAGAAAAGGACUUGCCUAUUAGAAAGCCCUGUGCUGACCAAAAGAAGAUUCUACAGCAAGUAAAAAAGGAAAAGGACAGAUUGAGUGAACCUGAGGAUGACCAGCAGGGUCUCCAGGAUAAGAUGAAAGAUUGUUCAUGCCCACAAGACUCAAAAGCAAGAAGACCCAAUACUAUUGCAAAGAAGAUCCAGCAGCCGGUAGAAAAGGUUGAGGACAGAUUGAAUGAGCCUGAGGAUGACCAACAGAGUCUCCGGGAUAAGAUGCAAUAUUAUGCAUUGCGACUAGAUUCACCUACAAGAAAGCUCACUUCUACUGUGAGGAAGAUCCAACAGCAAGCAGAUAAGGUGAGCAGACACAAGGGUACCAUAAUUGUGGAGGACAAUUCUGGAGAUUCAUUUUGUCAUCUAGCUAAAUAUCUAUUGUCACACAAGCUUCAUACCCGUCUCAAUAGUAAGUAA